GCGCGAGUGGCGGAACUGGUAGACGCGCAGGAUUUAGGUUCCUGUGUCUGAGGACGUGUGGGUUCGAGUCCCAUCUCGCGUA
RNAcentral lists this transfer RNA (82 nucleotides) under Flavimobilis soli. RNAcentral describes it as "Sanguibacter soli tRNA". It matches the Rfam family "tRNA". Rfam says of the family: Transfer RNA (tRNA) molecules are approximately 80 nucleotides in length. RNAcentral also lists the same sequence under 3 other names. Lineage: Bacteria; Bacillati; Actinomycetota; Actinomycetes; Micrococcales; Jonesiaceae. The record is from Rfam by way of RNAcentral.